GAUGAACGCCGGCGGUGUGCCUAAUACAUGCAAGUCGAACGCGUUGGCCCGAUUGAUUGAUGGUGCUUGCACCUGAUUGAUUUUGGUCGCCAACGAGUGGCGGACGGGUGAGUAACACGUAGGUAACCUGCCCAGAAGCGGGGGACAACAUUUGGAAACAGAUGCUAAUACCGCAUAACAGCGUUGUUUGCAUGAACAACGCUUAAAAGAUGGCUUCUCGCUAUCACUUCUGGAUGGACCUGCGGUGCAUUAGCUUGUUGGUGGGGUAACGGCCUACCAAGGCGAUGAUGCAUAGCCGAGUUGAGAGACUGAUCGGCCACAAUGGGACUGAGACACGGCCCAUACUCCUACGGGAGGCAGCAGUAGGGAAUCUUCCACAAUGGGCGCAAGCCUGAUGGAGCAACACCGCGUGAGUGAAGAAGGGUUUCGGCUCGUAAAGCUCUGUUGUUAAAGAAGAACACGUAUGAGAGUAACUGUUCAUACGUUGACGGUAUUUAACCAGAAAGUCACGGCUAACUACGUGCCAGCAGCCGCGGUAAUACGUAGGUGGCAAGCGUUAUCCGGAUUUAUUGGGCGUAAAGAGAGUGCAGGCGGUUUUCUAAGUCUGAUGUGAAAGCCUUCGGCUUAACCGGAGAAGUGCAUCGGAAACUGGAUAACUUGAGUGCAGAAGAGGGUAGUGGAACUCCAUGUGUAGCGGUGGAAUGCGUAGAUAUAUGGAAGAACACCAGUGGCGAAGGCGGCUACCUGGUCUGCAACUGACGCUGAGACUCGAAAGCAUGGGUAGCGAACAGGAUUAGAUACCCUGGUAGUCCAUGCCGUAAACGAUGAGUGCUAGGUGUUGGAGGGUUUCCGCCCUUCAGUGCCGGAGCUAACGCAUUAAGCACUCCGCCUGGGGAGUACGACCGCAAGGUUGAAACUCAAAGGAAUUGACGGGGGCCCGCACAAGCGGUGGAGCAUGUGGUUUAAUUCGAAGCUACGCGAAGAACCUUACCAGGUCUUGACAUCUUGCGCCAACCCUAGAGAUAGGGCGUUUCCUUCGGGAACGCAAUGACAGGUGGUGCAUGGUCGUCGUCAGCUCGUGUCGUGAGAUGUUGGGUUAAGUCCCGCAACGAGCGCAACCCUUGUUACUAGUUGCCAGCAUUAAGUUGGGCACUCUAGUGAGACUGCCGGUGACAAACCGGAGGAAGGUGGGGACGACGUCAGAUCAUCAUGCCCCUUAUGACCUGGGCUACACACGUGCUACAAUGGACGGUACAACGAGUCGCGAACUCGCGAGGGCAAGCAAAUCUCUUAAAACCGUUCUCAGUUCGGACUGCAGGCUGCAACUCGCCUGCACGAAGUCGGAAUCGCUAGUAAUCGCGGAUCAGCAUGCCGCGGUGAAUACGUUCCCGGGCCUUGUACACACCGCCCGUCACACCAUGAGAGUUUGUAACACCCAAAGUCGGUGGGGUAACCUUUUAGGAGCCAGCCGCCUAAGGUGGGACAGAUGAUUAGGGUG
Molecule: ribosomal RNA, 1498 nt
Filed under: Limosilactobacillus fermentum
Lineage: Bacteria; Bacillati; Bacillota; Bacilli; Lactobacillales; Lactobacillaceae
Description: bacterial SSU rRNA
Rfam family: Bacterial small subunit ribosomal RNA
Source: RNAcentral